GUAAUGCUUAGGAAUCUGCCUAUUAGUGGGGGACAACAUCUCGAAAGGGAUGCUAAUACCGCAUACGUCCUACGGGAGAAAGCAGGGGACCUUCGGGCCUUGCGCUAAUAGAUGAGCCUAAGUCGGAUUAGCUAGUUGGUGGGGUAAAGGCCUACCAAGGCGACGAUCUGUAGCGGGUCUGAGAGGAUGAUCCGCCACACUGGGACUGAGACACGGCCCAGACUCCUACGGGAGGCAGCAGUGGGGAAUAUUGGACAAUGGGGGGAACCCUGAUCCAGCCAUGCCGCGUGUGUGAAGAAGGCCUUUUGGUUGUAAAGCACUUUAAGCGAGGAGGAGGCUACCGAGAUUAAUACUCUUGGAUAGUGGACGUUACUCGCAGAAUAAGCACCGACUAACUCUGUGCCAGCAGCCGCGGUAAUACAGAGGGUGCAAGCGUUAAUCGGAUUUACUGGGCGUAAAGCGCGCGUAGGUGGCCAAUUAAGUCAAAUGUGAAAUCCCCGAGCUUAACUUGGGAAUUGCAUUCGAUACUGGUUGGCUAGAGUAUGGGAGAGGAUGGUAGAAUUCCAGGUGUAGCGGUGAAAUGCGUAGAGAUCUGGAGGAAUACCGAUGGCGAAGGCAGCCAUCUGGCCUAAUACUGACACUGAGGUG
Molecule: ribosomal RNA, 648 nt
Filed under: uncultured bacterium
Lineage: Bacteria
Description: bacterial SSU rRNA
Rfam family: Bacterial small subunit ribosomal RNA
Source: RNAcentral